Molecule: ribosomal RNA, 376 nt
Filed under: uncultured bacterium
Lineage: Bacteria
Description: bacterial SSU rRNA
Rfam family: Bacterial small subunit ribosomal RNA
Source: RNAcentral
GACGAACGCUGGCGGCGUGCUUAACACAUGCAAGUCGAGCGGUAAGGCCCUUUCGGGGGUACACGAGCGGCGAACGGGUGAGUAACACGUGGGUGACCUGCCCUCAGCUCUGGGAUAAGCCUGGGAAACCGGGUCUAAUACCGGAUAUGACUCCAUGACGCAUGUUGUGGGGUGGAAAGCCUUGUGCGGCUGAGGAUGGGGCCCGCGGCCUAUCAGCUUGUUGGUGGGGUGAUGGCCUACCAAGGCGACGACGGGUAGCCGGCCUGAGAGGGCGACCGGCCACACUGGGACUGAGACACGGCCCAGACUCCUACGGGAGGCAGCAGUGGGGAAUCUUGCGCAAUGGGCGAAAGCCUGACGCAGCGACGCCGCGUGA